UUCGAUGAUGAAUACAAUUCA
Molecule: non-coding RNA, 21 nt
Filed under: Caenorhabditis elegans
Lineage: Eukaryota; Metazoa; Nematoda; Chromadorea; Rhabditida; Rhabditidae
Source: RNAcentral